GCUGACUCCGGAGAUCCGAAGACAAGGCGAUAGGCGCGGCGUAGAAACCGACCCGACCGUCGGUUAAAUCGGCAUCGGCUCUCGACCUCCGGCGCCCCCUUCUUGCUUUCAUUCCCUCUUAGAUUUGGGGGCGGGGUGCGGGGGUCCAGACACCCGUCUUUCCCUCCUGCUGGCCGGUCGCCUAUGCCCGCGAGGGGGCGGCCAGGCGGCGCUCGAGAACCAGCUGAGGAGGAUCGACGGGUGCGAAGAGGAGAGCGCUUAAGGCGCGGCGGCUGCUGCCGUCCAGGAGAACAGAGGAGCGGUCGCUCGACCCACCUGGGCUGGCUGCCUUCGCACAGGGAGAGACAGGACUUCCAGCCGUGACCGGUGUCUAAGUCCUUUGGUGGCACCAGAAUGUCAGAACAUCCCUGCAAGUCAACAACACGUUCCACAACGCUGCUUUCUCUGCGGGGAAGGAUGAAGCUCCAGUUCAAAGGCCACCUUUGGUGACCCGGUCCUUCCAAGACCUUCAAAAACCCUGAGUCCAUUGUGCCUGGCAGCGACACACAGAUGAUGAGAAGGCAAAAUCCAUGACUUCCGCUGGGGGACAUCCAUUUGGCGGCUGCUUUCGGAUGUCGGCGGUCGGCAUUGAGUCUC
Lacerta agilis (Sand lizard) is the source of this 636-nucleotide long non-coding RNA. RefSeq lists it as uncharacterized. The record is from RefSeq and is a predicted model, not a curated record. Lineage: Eukaryota; Metazoa; Chordata; Lepidosauria; Squamata; Lacertidae. The transcript has 3 exons.